CCUACGGGUGGCAGCAGUCGAGAAUCAUUCACAAUGGGGGAAACCCUGAUGGUGCGACGCCGCGUGUGGGAAGACGGUCCUCUGGAUUGUAAACCACUGUCCCCAGGGACGAAGAUGACGGUACCUGGGGAGGAAGCUCCGGCUAACUACGUGCCAGCAGCCGCGGUAAUACGUAGGGAGCGAGCGUUGUCCGGAAUUACUGGGUGUAACGGGAGCGUAGGCGGGACUGCAAGUUGGGUGUCAAAUCUACCGGCUCAACCGGUAGCCGCACUCAAAACUGCAGUUCUUGAGUGAAGUAGAGGCAGGCGGAAUUCCUAGUGUAGCGGUGAAAUGCGUAGAUAUUAGGAGGAACACCAGUGGCGAAGGCGGCCUGCUGGGCUUUUACUGACGCUGAGGCUCGAAAGUGUGGGGAGCAAACAGGAUUAGAUACCCGAGUAGUC
This 440-nucleotide ribosomal RNA is filed under the name uncultured bacterium. Its description in RNAcentral is "partial 16S ribosomal RNA". It matches the Rfam family "Bacterial small subunit ribosomal RNA", at positions 338 to 795 of the family's 1533-position model. The record is from RNAcentral.